ACAGCAGCCGCCGCGGGAAUACAGAGGGUGCGAGCGUUAAUCGGAUUUACUGGGCGUAAAGCGUGCGUAGGCGGCUUUUUAAGUCGGAUGUGAAAUCCCUGAGCUUAACUUAGGAAUUGCAUUCGAUACUGGGAAGCUAGAGUAUGGGAGAGGAUGGUAGAAUUCCAGGUGUAGCGGUGAAAUGCGUAGAGAUCUGGAGGAAUACCGAUGGCGAAGGCAGCCAUCUGGCCUAAUACUGACGCUGAGGUACGAAAGCAUGGGGAGCAAACAGGAUUAGAUACCCGUGUAGUCCCUGUCUCUUAUAC
This 305-nucleotide ribosomal RNA is filed under the name uncultured bacterium. Its description in RNAcentral is "partial 16S ribosomal RNA". It matches the Rfam family "Bacterial small subunit ribosomal RNA", at positions 508 to 807 of the family's 1533-position model. The record is from RNAcentral.